UGACUAUACAAAGGUAUUGUAAUAAGGUUUUAAUUGAAUGCUAAGAGAAUGGAAAUUUAAAAAAAAACUUUUUUAAAAAUAAAAAUUAAAUUUUUUUUAAUUUGUGCAAAAACAAUUAUUGUUAUUAAAGACAAGAAGACCCUAAGAAUUUAAGAUUAAAAAUUAAAAAAUUUUUUAAUUUUUAAUCUUGAUUGGGGCGAUCAAAAAAUAUUAAUAACUUUUAAAAAUUUAAAUUGAUCUAUUAUUAAUAAAUAAAUGAAAUAAAUACUCUAGGGAUAACAGCGUAAUAAUUUUUGAUAGAUCUUAUUGACAAAAUAGUUUGCGACCUCGAUGUUGGAUUAGGAUUCUUUUUUAAUGAAGAAGUUAAAAAAAGAAGUUUGUUCAACUUUUAAAUUCCUACUUGAUCUGA
Molecule: ribosomal RNA, 409 nt
Filed under: Hyalomma impressum
Lineage: Eukaryota; Metazoa; Arthropoda; Arachnida; Ixodida; Ixodidae
Description: partial 16S ribosomal RNA
Rfam family: Archaeal large subunit ribosomal RNA (bases 275-409)
Source: RNAcentral